Molecule: ribosomal RNA, 1170 nt
Filed under: uncultured Bacteroides sp.
Lineage: Bacteria; Pseudomonadati; Bacteroidota; Bacteroidia; Bacteroidales; Bacteroidaceae
Description: bacterial SSU rRNA
Rfam family: Bacterial small subunit ribosomal RNA
Source: RNAcentral
AGUUUGAUCCUGGCUCAGGAUGAACGCUAGCUACAGGCUUAACACAUGCAAGUCGAGGGGCAGCAUCAUCAAAGCUUGCUUUGAUGGAUGGCGACCGGCGCACGGGUGAGUAACACGUAUCCAACCUGCCGACAACACUGGGAUAGCCUUUCGAAAGAAAGAUUAAUACCGGAUGGCAUAAUUAUUCCGCAUGGGAUUAUUAUUAAAGAAUUUCGGUUGUCGAUGGGGAUGCGUUCCAUUAGGCAGUUGGCGGGGUAACGGCCCACCAAACCAACGAUGGAUAGGGGUUCUGAGAGGAAGGUCCCCCACAUUGGAACUGAGACACGGUCCAAACUCCUACGGGAGGCAGCAGUGAGGAAUAUUGGUCAAUGGACGAGAGUCUGAACCAGCCAAGUAGCGUGAAGGAUGACUGCCCUAUGGGUUGUAAACUUCUUUUAUACGGGAAUAAAGUUAGCCACGUGUGGCUUUUUGUAUGUACCGUAUGAAUAAGGAUCGGCUAACUCCGUGCCAGCAGCCGCGGUAAUACGGAGGAUCCGAGCGUUAUCCGGAUUUAUUGGGUUUAAAGGGAGCGUAGGCGGGUUGUUAAGUCAGUUGUGAAAGUUUGCGGCUCAACCGUAAAAUUGCAGUUGAUACUGGCGACCUUGAGUGCAACAGAGGUAGGCGGAAUUCGUGGUGUAGCGGUGAAAUGCUUAGAUAUCACGAAGAACUCCGAUUGCGAAGGCAGCUUACUGGAUUGUAACUGACGCUGAUGCUCGAAAGUGUGGGUAUCAAACAGGAUUAGAUACCCUGGUAGUCCACACAGUAAACGAUGAAUACUCGCUGUUGGCGAUAUACAGUCAGCGGCCAAGCGAAAGCAUUAAGUAUUCCACCUGGGGAGUACGCCGGCAACGGUGAAACUCAAAGGAAUUGACGGGGGCCCGCACAAGCGGAGGAACAUGUGGUUUAAUUCGAUGAUACGCGAGGAACCUUACCCGGGCUUAAAUUGCAACUGACUGAACCGGAAACGGUUCUUUCUUCGGACAGUUGUGAAGGUGCUGCAUGGUUGUCGUCAGCUCGUGCCGUGAGGUGUCGGCUUAAGUGCCAUAACGAGCGCAACCCUUAUCGAUAGUUACUAGCAGGUCAUGCUGAGGACUCUAUUGAGACUGCCGUCGUAAGAUGUGAGGAAGGUGG